AUGGUGAGAUGUUGUGUUUAGGUAGGGGUGACAGUGUUACAGGGAUGUUGUCCGGAGGAGAGAGCGAGCGGGACUAUCGUCUUGAGUAAUUGAAGGGUGAAGACUUUUGGAUCGCUUCGGGUGGGAGGUUUCAGCCAGUUGAUGCGCCCACACAAACCCUAAGUCCCUGUGGCGCAUCUGGGCGGAACAGGCCUGCGCAGUGAUGAGUGGAAGGUAUCAAGGGCAGCACGCGGGGCUCGUGAGGAAGGAUUUGCAUUUGCGGGAGAGGUAGUAAGGACGAAGAAACUUAGCGCUCGAAGGUUGUGCUAGAAUGAAAAACGAUGUCGAAGAUUUGAGCUGCGGCUAAAGGCUUCCCGUGUAUUACAGGGCAUGCCUCGUGGAAUCAUCCACAGAGGUUUUUGCUUAUGCCCUAAGAGAGAGGUAACGUGAGUGUGACAGUUUGGGGGACGCGUUUGCACGCAAGGGCUGGACGCGGUUGAUGACGAGAGUAUUGUGUAGUGUAAUGGAGGUGGUGUAUGUUUCGCGCGCUCGAAGAAUUCAUGCUGUACAACUGUCCUUACCGUUUGGGAGAAUAGCCAGUUAUGCUCAAACACGUUUCUUGUCGGCAGCCUUGGUUGGCGGCAUAGUGCUUACUGACGCCGGCCCUUCCUGAGCACGGGAGUUUUGACCAAUCCAAGGGCACUCAAAAGUCCAUUGUAACAAAGAUGACGAGAUUGCGCCGGCCCGCUUCAACCAGUAAUCUGCUGAACGCGAUACCAUUCUGCCGAGCAUCGCAGCCUUACUGGGUUGCCCGAGAUGGCUGUUUCUUUCGCAGGACUCAGAAGCUGAAGCUUGCAAGUCUGUCCCAUUUGGCUUUCUCCUGAAACGUGGUGCCAGUUGCAUUCGCAAAUGAUGCAGCAUAUAGUCCAACCUGAAAGACAUGGGAACCUUACCCCUUAAACUUGUUCGCCCAAUACCGAAUUGUCACCCAUUCCUUCUUGAACCACUUAAAAUACCCAUACUGGUGCAAGAGUCCAACCAGGAAAGGAAGGAGCAGAUGCAAGGGAACGCAUACAGGUCCCAAGCAGAUGAUCAUCUCAGCUCAAAGCCUGACCUAGGCAAAAGACUAAUUGAGAGGAUGCCGCGAUAAAAACCCGAACGGUGCUUUGCCAGUGUCCCUGUGACAGCUAAAGAGCUAAACCUGCCUUGCAAAUCAUAGCUACACGUAAAAAGUAAACUAAGUAACAAACACAACAGGAAAAGCCCCCCAUGGCGACCGAUGUAAUCAUCCUGUACGGCAAACAUGUCUUCCUGCAACCAAUUCGCAAGACACCCUAACCUCCUUUUAUGAAGGCUCCCACUCCACAGGGCAAAGGUCGCCAUCGCGUUCGCUGACAAGUAGGCCCAAACAAACUGGCAACGUGAUGGCGUCAAAAUUCUGACCUCCUUUCUUGCUUGUG
RNAcentral lists this long non-coding RNA (1439 nucleotides) under Volvox carteri. RNAcentral describes it as "long non-coding RNA (VCAR_LNC001196)". Lineage: Eukaryota; Viridiplantae; Chlorophyta; Chlorophyceae; Chlamydomonadales; Volvocaceae. The record is from RNAcentral.